AGGACGAACGCUGGCGGCGUGCUUAACACAUGCAAGUCGAACGCUCGUAGCAAUACGGGAGUGGCAGACGGGUGAGUAACGCGUGGGAACAUACCCUCCGGUUCGGAAUAGCUCAGGGAAACUUGGAUUAAUACCGGAUACGGCUGAGAGGCGAAAGAUUUAUCGCCGGAGGAUUGGCCCGCGUUCGAUUAGCUUGUUGGUGAGGUAACGGCUCACCAAGGCGAUGAUCGAUAGCUGGUCUGAGAGGAUGAUCAGCCACAUUGGGACUGAGACACGGCCCAAACUCCUACGGGAGGCAGCAGUGGGGAAUAUUGGACAAUGGGCGCAAGCCUGAUCCAGCCAUGCCGCGUGAGUGAUGACGGCCUUAGGGUUGUAAAGCUCUUUCGCUCGGGACGAUAAUGACGGUACCGAGAUAAGAAGCCCCGGCUAACUUCGUGCCAGCAGCCGC
RNAcentral lists this ribosomal RNA (448 nucleotides) under uncultured bacterium. RNAcentral describes it as "SSU rRNA". It matches the Rfam family "Bacterial small subunit ribosomal RNA", at positions 26 to 518 of the family's 1533-position model. The record is from RNAcentral.